GGUGUGGUUCUCUCUCUCUCUCUCCCUCCACACCCCUCUCCACCCUCUUCACACGCCGGAGACAUCCUCAUGUUGCUUCGCCCAGAGUAAGAAAGGUGUUUUCAACACGCACACAGACACGCGCGCGCACACACACACCCACCCCGCAUUUCUCAAAGAGGAGGAGGAGGAGGAGAGGACCUCCGGCACAACAAGGGAUCCCGCUUCGCCUCCCCUCUUUUUUUUUUUUUCCAGGCUGGCUUAGGCUUAACGCCGCCGUCAGCGGCCUGAGAGGGCAGAGAAAGCGGGAGGCGGAUGCGCCCGGCGAGCGGAGGGGGAUGGAGCGGCUGGCGGAGCGGCGCGCGAGCUGAGCCAGCCGGGCGCGAGAGGCGAGGCGAGGCGAGGGAGCACGCGGACAGGGGCCACCUCGCUUGCCCACCCUGCGCGCCAUGGCCAGGAGGGAAGGCUCGGCGGGGCGAGGAUUGCAGAGCCUGCGUGUGACAUCGUCAUGAACGAAAGAAGAAAGUAAUACAGCAUUGGAUGCGCCUGCUUGCUGCCCAUAGCAAAAAGAGAGGGGAGAAAAUGAUGCAUUGUGGGGAAUCACUUCAAAAGGGUGAAUGAAAUGAGCUCUUUCGAUUCUAGUAUUUGAAAAGCUAAGUAAUUCUCUGGAAGAAUUGUUCUAAAUGAGCCUGGCCAAGAUACUGGAUCUGUGUGAAGAGGACUAAGGAUACAAUAGGAUGUCAACUGAGACAGAACUUCAAGUGGCUGUUAAAACCAGCACAAAGAAAGAGUCUAAAAAGAAAGGUCAGGAUCGUAGUGAAGCAACUUUAAUAAAGAGGUUUAAAGGCGAUGGUGUUCGAUACAAAGCAAAACUCAUUGGUAUAGACGAAGUCUCCGCAGCGCGAGGUGACAAGUUAUGUCAAGAUUCCAUGAUGAAAUUAAAGGGAAUUGUUGCUGCAUCUCGUUCAAAAGGCGAACAUAAACAGAAAAUAUUUCUAACCAUCUCCUUUGGAGGAAUCAAAAUCUUCGAUGAAAAGACAGGACUACUACAGCAUCAUCAUGCAGUACAUGAAAUUUCAUACAUCGCCAAGGAUAUCACAGACCACCGGGCCUUUGGAUAUGUAUGUGGAAAGGAAGGAAAUCAUAGAUUUGUGGCAAUAAAAACAGCCCAAGCAGCAGAACCUGUGAUUUUGGAUUUACGAGACCUCUUCCAACUUAUUUAUGAGUUGAAACAAAGAGAAGAACUGGAAAAGAAGGCACAAAAAGAUAAACAAUGUGAACAAGCAGUAUAUCAGACAAUUUUGGAAGAAGAUGUAGAGGAUCCUGUUUAUCAGUACAUUGUGUUUGAGGCUGGACAUGAGCCAAUUCGUGAGCCUGAAACAGAAGAAAACAUUUAUCAGGUUCCUACUAGCCAAAAGAAAGAAGGUGUUUAUGAUGUGCCAAAAAGUCAACCUGUAAGUCUGGAGGAUGGAAACCUGUUGUUGGACAUAGAGGAAAAUCUUGGUAGAAUAACUCAGGCUGUUCCCCAACUAGAGCUGUUUGGGGAUAUGUCCACUCCUCCUGAUAUAACCUCUCCCCCUACCCCUGCAACUCCAGGUGAUGCCUUUAUCCCAUCUUCAUCCCAGUCACUUCCUGCUGGUACAGAGGUAUUUAGUUCUGUACCUUACAGCAGUGCUGCUGUACCCUCAGGUUAUGUUGCAAUGGGAGCUGUCCUGCCUUCCUUCUGGGGACAGCAACCACUUGUUCAACAACAACUGGCCAUGGGUGCUCAGCCUCCAGUUGCUCAGGUGAUGCAAGGAGGACAGUCAAUUGCAUGGGGACAACCUGGGAUGUUUCCUCCCACCCAGCAACCAUGGCCAUCUGUAGCUGGUCAGUUUCAGCCCGCUGCCUUCAUGCCAACACAAACUGUUUUGCCUUUACAAGCAGCCAUGUUUCAAGGUACCAUUGUUCCCACUGCUACUGUUCCACCAACCAGUGAUUCCACCAGAUCAAGUCCACAGACAGAUAGCCCAAGGCAGCAAGCCGGAAAAGAAAUGUUUAAAGAUUUCCAGAUGGUUCAGGCACCUCCAAUACCAUCACGAAAACCAGAUCAGCCUUCCCUCAGUUGUACCUCAGAGGCCUUCUCCAGUUACUUUAACAAAGUUGGAAUGGCACAGGAAGCAGAUGAUUGUGAUGACUUUGAUAUCUCUCAGUUAAAUCUGACUCCUGUGACAUCUACAACACCAUCAACAAAUUCACCCCCAACUCCUGCUCCCAGACAGAGUUCUCCAUCUAAAUCCUCAGCAUCUCAUACCAGUGACGCUGCUGCAGAUGACCUCUUUGAAGAGGGCUUUGAAAGCCCAAGCAAAAGUGAAGAGCAAGAAGCACCUGAUGGAUCUCAGGCCUCAUCCAACAGUGAUCCAUUUGGUGAAUCUAUUGGUGAUACUGUAAGUCCACAGGGCGAUAGCUAGAUAGCGCAGGUUGGGUGUCUUAUCUGAAUCUGCAUUUACUGUAACACAGAUCUACUGAACAAAUUGGAAAGAGAACCACUCUAUGCCCAGAUCAACAGACCUAAGACCUAAGAAAUAGCAUUGACCCACACUCGUGGCACUUCAAGUCGCAAAUGAAAACUCCAAUCUUGACAGGCCUUUGGCUCCUACUACAUUUUUUAAUAUUAUUUAGUUAUCUCAGCUAAUCAAGGAUAAUCACAUCAGUGGAUUAAUUCCCCUUAUUUUUCAAAAUCCUACUUUCCUGGGGGAGGGGGGGGAAUGUCAUCUGCAUUCCUACAACUUCGAACUAUCGAAAUAUCUUUUCUUUUUGUUACCUUUUGUUGUUUCUAGGACUCCAUAUAAUGAAAGUAGGUGAACCAAAUCUAUUAGAGGACAACUCAUUGUUUUAUAAUACAGAAACACAGAAAAAGCAAACACAUCCUGGUCACCAGUCAUUUGAGCUACACAACUGCACAUUUGAAGAUAUAAUAACUUUUGUACGACCAUCACAAACUGAUCCUUCUGUAUUUUCACCCCGAAUACCAGCCUAUAACAGCAUAUACGAAGGAAGUAUUCAAGUGUUUCAUUCCCCCCCCCCACUCCAAUUACUUAAAAACUGGUGACAGACACUAGCAUCAGAAUGCCUCCUGUGAAAAUAAAUCUUAACUUGAAGUCAUGGAUUCCCAUUCCACCAGUCAUCAGUUUUGAUUGAAAAUGUUGCCAAAUGGACCUUUUAAUUUUCAGUACAUCAAAUGAGAUGAAAUGCUGCUUUUUCUGUUUUGAAUACUACUGCUAUGAGUAGAGAAGGACAUCGUAUCUUUUUGAUGGAAAAACAAACUGUGUUAUUUCCUAGGGAACUCUUGAAACAAAGAUCAGUAAAGGAUAUUUUUUAUUUCUUUGAUAUCUUGCUGCUGUAAUGCUAUGCAGACAAGUGUUUUUUUUCUUCUCUCUGUGCCAUUUUUGAAGAGAAAUAAAACUGUUUGCCAAAUACUUCUACAUCUGGAUUUGAUUGGGUUGGACUUUAAUAACAGGAUGGAGAUGGUAUGAAUUUUGAAAUAAUGAACUUAUUCUGCGAUCAAAUGGUUCAUCUUUAUCACUUUUUGUACAUCGGAAAAAUUCAAAUGGGAUUUUUAUUUUAUAACUUGAAAUUUAAAAAUAAAAAUCUUACUGUUAAAACUCUUUCAAUGUUUAAGGGGAAAUGGCUUUAAAGAGUCUGAAUGAAAAUUGCCAGGUUUUCUUUUGUUUUGUAAAUAUAAAUGUUAGGAGUUUUUUUCACCAUGACAUCACACUGUAGGGAAGGUAGUAAAUGAUGAUAUUUCGGAAGCGUGGAAACCCCCAUUUUGUGGUUCUUGUAUCACGUUUGUUUGGUUUUGUUUUUCACAUGCUUAUAGUUAGUGGGACAAAGCUGAAGUGCGUUUCCCAACUACAAUUUUGUUGCCUGAAACUAGCUAGGUUGAUGGAGAACUCAUAAUCAUACAAUCUUGCUUUUAUAAUACAACUGUUAUUACAUACUUUACAUUUUUUGGAGAAAAAUCUCAUUUCAUACCCAUUUCCUAAUUUAAUAAGAGCUGUUUACACACCACAGAAGCAAGUUUUUUAAAACUGUUUUUUUUAAUAUAUUUAUGUAAGAAAAGUGCAGUGUUUGGUUUCUAUUCUUCGCACAUGAUUUGCAUAAAGAAUCUAUAUAUUUUUGCCCUACAGAGAAUUGUUAUACAGGUCAAAUAUGUUUUCCUGAUGUUCCUAUGCAGAUUACAAUAUAUAGAACUUUAGUGGUUUAGCACUAAAAAAAGAAGAGUUAAAUAGUUCAAAUGAUGACUUAUUUCAAGGAUUAUGCAGAUUUUGUUUUUAAAAUCAAAAUGCCAAUAUGCUUGUGUUUUCUCCUUUGAUUAUACAGGUCUGGAGUUAUAUUUCAUGCAUUUGAAUUAUUAAAGCAUUUUACAAGAGUAGAUGAAAACUGGCGAUUUGGUGAUAUUGAAACUGAACUUGAUAUUUCCAUUUGGUUUUUUUCAACAUAGGUACUGAAAUAAAAUGUGUGUUAAACAGUCAAUGAACUAUAGGCUUUAAUAUCAGUGCAGAUCUAAUGUACUUUUCCAGUCAUUUCCUCUCUGUACUUUUUUGGUGUGCAACCUUGUUUCAAUAAAAGACUCCAUGUGGAUUUUACAGAACAUAUGAUUGGUGAUGUGAAAGAGAAACAAAAGAGAAAUUGAGUCCAAUUAAAGCAGAAAGUAGUUGUGCCCAAAAUAAAAAUUAACAUUUUUGUUAAAGUCAAUUUGUUUUUCUUCAUUUCUCCUUUCCCCAGCCUGUUUUUAUCCAACCCACAAAUCAAUUUAUUUUAACUUUUACUUGAUCAUCACUAUAUAUCUGUGAAAGGUGAAGAUGGCCUGGGUCUGCACAAGCCUUUUCCCAGCCUAAAAUAUUCAUCCAUGUUGUAGUCGUUGUCAGCAUCUCUGUCGCAAAUGUGGAUCAAAAGAAAAAUGCAAAAAGUGAUCUCUUUUGUAACAUAUAAAAUGUUAAGUUCGUUUGUUUCCUACGAAAAAAGAUGACAUCAUACAAAAGGACAUUUCAACCCUGAAACAUUGAUGUAUAGUCAAUAGUGAAAUCUUUCUGAACUAAGUUUUUAUUUAAACACAAAAAAAUAAAAUAUUCACAGAUAUUGUAGCGUGGUGCAGACUAACAGUCAGUUCAUGGUUGUUAUUGGGUUCCAAAGUACUUACCAAGAUGGGAAAGUUCAUGUAUAUGAAUUACAACUGGGAUUUAGAGAUCAUAGGGAAAUUUGUUCUAUACAAACCAAAAGUCUUUUGAAAUAAAACAACCCAUGAUUAACUUAUCCAUCAUUAGAUUAUUCCUUUCUACCAUAAUCUAGAAGAAAAACAAUACAGAAGCUGCACUAUACAAGUAUUGUAGAUAGGAAAUAUAUCUACAGGAAUCCAUUCAUCACUAGCACGAAGCUUGUCACUUUAAACUUUAAACCAGGGAGAAUCAUCCCAUCCUGUCCUGUUUCCAAUUGUUUCUUGUUUCUUACGUUAUUAAUGUACUUUGAUUCAUUGUUGUCAUUCAAAUGUCUGAUGAAAUUUAUAAUUGAAUAAUGUACUGGGCACCUUCUUUGCAAAGAUGUUUACUUUCUACUUUGAUUUGUUUGAUUUUUGUGUUCUCACGUGUUUAUUUUUUAAUAGAAGAAAGAUGAAAAUGACUGUUUUGCAGUACAUUUCUAGAUCUACUUUAACUUUACCUCAGAGGAAAACCAUUUGUUAACAUCUGUUGAACAUCUUCUUUCCCCUUAUGUAUAAUGCAUUCAUCAGAAGAAAUUUUUAGAGAUUUUCCAUUGAUUUCUGUAAGACACCAUGUAGUACUGUUAAAAAUAAAAAUGUUUGAAAUCACGUUUA
RNA transcript from Crotalus tigris (Tiger rattlesnake), 5830 nucleotides. It is a transcript of the gene named DAB adaptor protein 1, with no coding region annotated. The transcript is spliced from 18 exons. NCBI's taxonomy places the organism in Eukaryota, Metazoa, Chordata, Lepidosauria, Squamata, Viperidae. The record is from RefSeq and is a predicted model, not a curated record.